GGAGGCGAGUGGUCUCUGGUGAGGCCCCCGGGCUUCAAACCCGGCCGAGAGGCGGCAUUGGCUGUCUUUGGUGAGUUCGAUUCUCACACGCCUCC
RNAcentral lists this transfer RNA (95 nucleotides) under Aminobacterium colombiense DSM 12261. Its description in RNAcentral is "Selenocysteine transfer RNA". It matches the Rfam family "Selenocysteine transfer RNA". Lineage: Bacteria; Thermotogati; Synergistota; Synergistia; Synergistales; Aminobacteriaceae. The record is from Rfam by way of RNAcentral.